UACGGAGGGUGCAAGCGUUAUCCGGAUUCACUGGGUUUAAAGGGUGCGUAGGCGGGCAGGUAAGUCCGUGGUGAAAUCUCUGAGCUUAACUCAGAAACUGCCAUGGAUACUAUUUGUCUUGAAUGUUGUGGAGGUAAGCGGAAUAUGUCAUGUAGCGGUGAAAUGCUUAGAUGUGACAUAGAACACCAAUUGCGAAGGCAGCUUACUACACAAAUAUUGACGCUGAGGCACGAAAGCGUGGGGAUCAAACAGG
Molecule: ribosomal RNA, 253 nt
Filed under: uncultured bacterium
Lineage: Bacteria
Description: partial 16S ribosomal RNA
Rfam family: Bacterial small subunit ribosomal RNA
Source: RNAcentral